This 386-nucleotide long non-coding RNA is filed under the name Gallus gallus (chicken). The record is from RNAcentral. Lineage: Eukaryota; Metazoa; Chordata; Aves; Galliformes; Phasianidae.
GCACCGUUGGCUCAAGUUUUUCCCAUUGAACAAAAUGGGAAAGAAGAAAAAUUGUUACAUAGUGUGAAAAUAUGCAAAAAGCAAAAUGAAUUCAUUGUCCUCUGAUUUAUAUUGGAAUAGGCAAAUGUGGGUAGAAAUUCCCAGAUAUUCUUAAAGCACUCAGAUUCCAAACCAGGCUGCUGCUCCUGGAAACUUCAUCGUCCCAGAGAUGUUCUCAAGGAUCCGCGCUGUGCAACCUCCUGCUCCUCCCGCUCCGCCUGCCCGCAGCCGGGAGGCGCGCCCGCAGCUCGCUCCGUCCGCCCAUCCGCGCUGCGCCCGCCGUCUCUGCCCUGCGGGAGGGGGAGGAGGGAGGAAGAAAAAGAGGGAGGGAGGGAGCAGCCCCGUAC